GACGAACGCUGGCGGCGUGCUUAACACAUGCAAGUCGAACGGAAAGGCCCUGCUUUUGUGGGGUGCUCGAGUGGCGAACGGGUGAGUAACACGUGAGUAACCCGCCCUUGACUUUGGAAUAACUUCAGGAAACUGGGGCUAAUACCGGAUAGGAGCUCCUGCUGCACGGUGGGGGUUGGAAAGUUUCGGCGGUUGGGGAUGGACUCGCGGCUUAUCAGCUUGUUGGUGGGGUAGUGGCUUACCAAGGCUUUGAAGGGUAGCCGGCCUGAGAGGGGGACCGGCCACAUUGGGACUGAGAGACGGCGCAGACUCCUACGGGAGGCAGCAGUGGGGAAUAUGGCACAAUGGGCGGAAGCCUGAUGCAGCAACGCCGCGUGCGGGAUGACGGCCUUCGGGUGGUAAACCGCUUUCGCCUGUGACGAAGCGUGAGUGACGGUAAUGGGUAAAGAAGCACCGGCUAACUACGUG
RNAcentral lists this ribosomal RNA (468 nucleotides) under uncultured bacterium. Its description in RNAcentral is "partial 16S ribosomal RNA". It matches the Rfam family "Bacterial small subunit ribosomal RNA", at positions 28 to 507 of the family's 1533-position model. The record is from RNAcentral.